UACGGAGGGUGCAAGCAUUAAUCGGAUUCAUUGGGCGUACAGGGCGCGUAGGCGGGAGGGAAAGUCAGAUGUGAAAUCCCGGGGCUCAACCUCGGAACAGCAUUUGAAACUUCCUUUCUUGAGGAUAGGCGGGGAAAACGGAAUUCCACAUGUAGCGGUGAAAUGCGUAGAUAUGUGGAGGAACACCGGUGGCGAAGGCGGUUUUCUAGCUUAUUCCUGACGCUGAGGCGCGAAAGCAAGGGGAUCAAACAGG
This 253-nucleotide ribosomal RNA is filed under the name uncultured bacterium. RNAcentral's name for it is "partial 16S ribosomal RNA". It matches the Rfam family "Bacterial small subunit ribosomal RNA", at positions 524 to 776 of the family's 1533-position model. The record is from RNAcentral.